RNAcentral lists this ribosomal RNA (253 nucleotides) under uncultured bacterium. RNAcentral's name for it is "partial 16S ribosomal RNA". It matches the Rfam family "Bacterial small subunit ribosomal RNA", at positions 524 to 776 of the family's 1533-position model. The record is from RNAcentral. RNAcentral also lists the same sequence under 1 other name.
UACGGAGGGUGCAAGCGUUAUCCGGAUUCACUGGGUUUAAAGGGUGCGUAGGUGGGCUAGUAAGUCCGUGGUGAAAUCCCCGAGCUUAACUUGGGAACUGCCAUUGAUACUAUUAGUCUUGAAUAUCGUGGAGGUAAGCGGAAUAUGUCAUGUAGCGGUGAAAUGCUUAGAUAUGACAUAGAACACCAAUUGCGAAGGCAGCUUGCUACACGGUCAUUGACACUGAGGCACGAAAGCGUGGGGAGCAAACAGG